This 649-nucleotide ribosomal RNA is filed under the name Elephastomus sp. NLG-2014. RNAcentral describes it as "eukaryotic LSU rRNA". It matches the Rfam family "Eukaryotic large subunit ribosomal RNA", at positions 671 to 1265 of the family's 3401-position model. Lineage: Eukaryota; Metazoa; Arthropoda; Insecta; Coleoptera; Bolboceratidae. The record is from RNAcentral.
GAGUCUAGCAUGUGCGCGAGUCUUUGGGUAUUAAACUAAACCUAUAGGCGAAAUGAAAGUGAAAGUCCGCCUCGUGCGGACGUAGGGAGGAUGGGCCGUCCUACGAGUCGGCCCCGCACUCCCGGGGCGUCUCCGCGUCUCGGUCGCUCGCGAUCGAGAGGGGGCGCACCUAGAGCGUACACGCUGGGACCCGAAAGAUGGUGAACUAUGCCUGGUCAGGACGAAGUCAGGGGAAACCCUGAUGGAGGUCCGUAGCGAUUCUGACGUGCAAAUCGAUCGUCGGAACUGGGUAUAGGGGCGAAAGACUAAUCGAACCAUCUAGUAGCUGGUUCCCUCCGAAGUUUCCCUCAGGAUAGCUGGCGCUCGCCAGAGAGAAAGUCUCAUCUGGUAAAGCGAAUGAUUAGAGGCAUUGGGGUCGAAACGGCCUCAACCUAUUCUCAAACUUUAAAUGGGUGAGAUCUCCGGCUUGCUUAAAUAGUGAAGCCGCGAGAUUACGGAUCAGAGUGCCAAGUGGGCCACUUUUGGUAAGCAGAACUGGCGCUGUGGGAUGAACCAAACGUCGAGUUAAAGCGCCCAAAUCGAAGCUUAUGGGACACCAUGAAAGGCGUUGGUAACUUAAGACAGCAGGACGGUGGCCAUGGAAGUUGGA